CUCCGCUUCACUUCAACGAGCAAUUCCUCAUCCGCUCGAACUCCGCCGAAAACCCUAAUUCCUCACUUGACGAAUCCAAAACCCUAACUCCCCAAUGUCUUCUCUUUCUUUCCCCCUCCCUCUCUCGAGUUCUUUUUCUUGUAAGCAGCCGCUCCGAUUCGAGAUUUCCUCUCGGGUUUUCUUCCAAGUGCGUGGCAAGUGGCCGGAGGCGAGGUGGCACGCGUUGCUUGCACAUCCGAGGAAAUCUUACGUGACUUCGGAAACCGCUUUACCGGCAUGAUCACGGUCCGCUGCCGCUCACGUUCGGUUCUUGUAGUUCCCAUUGUUUUGUGUUGAUAUCGGUUUGCUUACCUUGAUCUUGUUGGUUUCUGAUAUGCUUUGUUCUUUCCUUAUAACGUGUUGGUGGUGUUGCAAUGUCGGGAAGUUCUACCGACGAUGUGAUCCAGGUGACUUGCCUCUUUCUUGGGUAUGUUUCGUGGGGUGAUAGGGUGAUGAUGUUUCAGUUUAUUGGUUACAGGAUUUCUGCCGCUGUUGGUGCUGCGCUGACAAUUAUCCUCUUUGUGAAAUGAGUAAAUUUUUGGAGGUUGUUUACGUUUUUGGGGAUUAAUCUGAUGUUUUUGUAUUGGUUUCGUUUAUUUAAUGAAAUCUCCCGAAAAUUUUGAUGACAAUUUCUUUCUACUGAACAAAAACACUUGGGAUUAUUUAAUACUGAAGAUUUUAGUCAGAAAGAACAUUACAAUCUAUGAUUCAAACUUUUUUGGUUAGAAAACACAUGCUAGGAGUUUGCAUGUUCUGUUUUGAUUUGCUUGGUAUCCAUAAACUAUUAUAAUAUCUUGCCGUUAAUCUCUCUUUUAUGUUCUUUUUCCAUUGCCAAAGAAGCUCAGAAUUAUGUUAUGAGGGUUAACAUGAGUAAAAAUGUGAUCUUUGGUUUAAUACCACUUGACAUAUUCAAUUCAAGAAACUUUAUAGCAUUCUUUAAGUUUUCAAAUGCAUACCUGUUUCGAAUCAUCAGGCAUCCAAAUGCCUGAUGGUACUGCUGUUAGAGAAGAAUCAUCAGGCUUCCAGUUCCCUAGCAUUCAAAAUGUUCUACCUUUCUCCAAGUUUGAUCAUUCAUUUUUGGAUUGUUUUAGGCAAAGAUUGUGACGGUAAUUGGCUGAAGUUCUGUUCACUUGAAGACAAGACUGGUGUUUCCUUGAUACUAGUAAUCUGGUUUAUAGCACUUGCAAGACCCAUUGCCAAAAAGUAUCAGUCCCGAGUCCUGACAUGUUUACCUUGCAGCAAUUUGACACUACUGGAGGCGGCUAUAUAAUAUGCUCAGCAAUCUUCCCUAUUAUAUAUCAAGAUCUAAAUGAAAUUGCCAAGAAGCGAUCCAGAGAGAGGAACCCUGUCACCGGCAGAAUCAAGAUAUGCAGGCCCUUAGAAGUCAUUAAAGAUGCCUCCUUCCUAAGAGGAUGUUAAUAGCAGGGAAGAUGAUGAGCAAAGAGUAUGCAGAUAUGCAAGCCUGAGGUAUACUCUUAUUUGGAUGUUAGAAGGAAAUGUUAAAGUUCAACAUCUAACACCAAUAAUCUGAAUGGACUUCUGCAAUUGCAUACAAAUCAAGGCAAAAAGAAAGCAGUAACAUCCUGAAGUCUGCAAUGUUACACUCGAUAUCAAGAAUCACAAGGCUCACACGAGGCACGAUGGAAGGAGAUGAUUGGGAGAGAUAUACCAUUCUCUAUAUGAGGUGGCUGGAGACCUGAUGGAGUGAUGAGUCGAAGGAGAUGAGUGUACACCAAAUAGGAAUACUGAAAGUAAGCAGGGGGGAUGAUCCUUUUGGCUAGCUUUCUUCCGGUUGAAUUUAUUGAUUGGGACGAAGAAAGGAAUGGGAAAAGAGGGGCAAACUUCUGAUGAUAUCAGAUAAGUAGGGAUCUUCUCGUCUUCCUGGGGUGAGUCAAGCUCACUUGUCAUGGUGUUCCUCCUUUUGCUGGUCCUCUUACUCAAGACAAUGUGUAAGCA
Musa acuminata subsp. malaccensis (wild Malaysian banana) is the source of this 1995-nucleotide non-coding RNA. The record is from RefSeq and is a predicted model, not a curated record. NCBI's taxonomy places the organism in Eukaryota, Viridiplantae, Streptophyta, Magnoliopsida, Zingiberales, Musaceae.